CCUCUACUACAAGCAUGGCACUGGUGGUGAUCGAGCUCUUCUGCCGUAGCAAUUUCAACACAAGGUGCUACCCUCUGCUGAUAUACGCCAUUCUUACUAGUUGCUCGAGGUUGCCUAGCAUGCUACCAGGCAUCUUACCUGCUGCUGCAAGAAAAACAGUUGACACAUUUUGAAAGCAGCAGGACUAGCGCCUGACGGAGCCAACCUUCUAAGCAACUUUGAUCUUAGAUUUGAGUACCUAUGGAACAGUGACUACAUACAUCUUCACAUUCAGGCUUCACAUUCAUCAGCUUUCAUUCAACUUGUCCGCAUAGCAUACCCCAUCCACUCAUCGUCAGCCCCAUCCACGUAAGUCCAUGUGUUCCCUUUUACCAAUGAAUAACUUUGGAACUGCUGUCUUUGUGUACGUGUGCUGUGGCAACUCUCUUUUCCUCACUAUCCUUGAACCAGAUUGAGAUGACAUCUUCCAGGUCUGAAGGGUCAUUGUAGGACUUGUGUGGAUGCAAACCUCUAAUUUAUUGAAUGGUCAGGCAAUAUGUAUUUGUGAACUGGACAGGGUGAUCUGUGAUGUUUGUACUUUAUUUCUGCUUUCAUGACUCCUGAGUUCUAGCACUAUUGUCAGAUCCAACAACUAGUUGACAGCUUACUCAACUAACUUACAUCAUUCUUGAACUUUUCACAAAAGGUCUUCACACUAUUGUGUACCAUGCAGAAUUCUUUAUAUGUUCCAGCUUUGUUUUGCCAGUGUAUUGAAUGAGCCUCUUGGCUGUGACGGAGAACGUGAUUUCUUGAGAGUGAUUCAGUAGUAGGAGAUAGUUAAAUGAAGUGGUCACAGUGAAAUGAUGAGAGAAAGCUACUUCUUACAGACAUUCUCUCGAGUCUUUAUAGACA
This 891-nucleotide small RNA is filed under the name Histoplasma ohiense. RNAcentral describes it as "hypothetical lncRNA". Lineage: Eukaryota; Fungi; Ascomycota; Eurotiomycetes; Onygenales; Ajellomycetaceae. The record is from RNAcentral.